GUAGAAAAAGAGGAUUCGAACCCCUAUCCGAGAGUCCAAAACUCCAGGUGUUCCCAUUACACCAUUUCCUA
RNAcentral lists this transfer RNA (71 nucleotides) under Hemigrammus armstrongi. Its description in RNAcentral is "tRNA-Gln". The record is from RNAcentral. Lineage: Eukaryota; Metazoa; Chordata; Actinopteri; Characiformes; Acestrorhamphidae.